GAUGAACGCUGGCGGCGUGCCUAAUACAUGCAAGUCGAGCGAACAGACGAGGAGCUUGCUCCUCUGACGUUAGCGGCGGACGGGUGAGUAACACGUGGAUAACCUACCUAUAAGACUGGGAUAACUUCGGGAAACCGGAGCUAAUACCGGAUAACAUGUUGAACCGCAUGGUUUAACAGUGAAAGACGGUCUUGCUGUCACUUAUAGAUGGAUCCGCGCCGCAUUAGCUAGUUGGUAAGGUAACGGCUUACCAAGGCAACGAGGCGUAGCCGACCUGUGAGGGUGAUCGGCCACACUGGAACUGAGACACGGUCCAGACGCCUACGGGAGGCAGCAGUAGGGAAUCUUCCGCAAUGGGCGAAAGCCUGACGGAGCAACGCCGCGUGAGUGAAGAAGGUCUUCGGAUCGUAAAACUCUGUUAUUAGGGAAGAACAAAUGUGUAAGUAACUAUGCACGUCUUGACGGUACCUAAUCAGAAAGCCACGGCUAACUACGUG
Molecule: ribosomal RNA, 497 nt
Filed under: uncultured bacterium
Lineage: Bacteria
Description: partial 16S ribosomal RNA
Rfam family: Bacterial small subunit ribosomal RNA
Source: RNAcentral